UAUUGCUAUAAUAAGGCAAUUUCUCCUUUCUAUUGACUGAAAUUUGAAAUUAUGAAAACAAACCUGUUUUAAAUUAUAUGGAAACAGAAUUUCUUGGUACACAUAAAUCUGAUACAAAACAAAGUAUGAGCGAGAGUUUUAAUAAGAACAAAGAACAAGUAUACAUUACAUUUCUCUGGAUCCACUCAUAGCUUCCUUUCUCCUGGAAUUCAAGAAAACGGAUGAAAAGUUGAUGAACCUUAUCUCCAGCAAUCCCAGAAAUAUUUGAAUUCUCUCCAAUUUCCAUCAAGAAAACAUCAAGAUUCAUGACAGAGACUCUAAACCACUAAUUUAACCAAUUCCAGGAACAAUACCAAGAACCAGAACUUGCAUUAGAAAACUGACAUGAAAAGAAAAGCCCAAAAAAAAAAAAAAAGAAGGUGAAAAGAAGAUGAUGAGCUCUGGAGAUCAAAGAAACAGGAAAGGCAUUUUAAGUGAUGUUGAACACUGUUUUUCAUCGUUGUUGGAAUUAUUACACUGUUGUCUUCUUCUUUCUCUCAAACUCACAAUUGUUGGAAGCACUAUCUCCAUUGAAGCUCCAAUGAGAUAUCUUUGAGUAAGAUUUUGGCAAGUGUUGCAGAGAAAGCAUCUAAUAUGCCUGAAAGCUAAGAAAUUCGCACCAUGUACCCAUUUGUCACAUUCUCUACACAGAAAUGCAUCAUCUGCUUGGCAAUAUAAAGAUGCUCGAGACCCACAGAGUUCACAGCAUAUCAAACUUGAGGCUUCAUCGCCUGAACCAGCUUCUUUCUCCUCUAGUUUCAUGCAGAACCUGCCUUGGUUGUGGCUUCUCUCCUCUACACCUCUGCACAUUUUCUCUCUUUCACAAGCUUAAAAAGGGAUUCUAGGAGAUUGGAGGAAGGAUUUAAAGAGACCUUCUAUGCUAUAACCACUAUUGUUCACAGACAGUUUCCAGGAAAUGAGUUCUGGACAGAAUUUUAGCAUAUAAAAAAGGAAUGAAAGCCACUAAAUGACAAAGUUGUCACUAUUUAUAAUCUCUAAUCAAUCUUUUAAUUACCCUUUUUUUUAAAGUAUGGAAUUUCAAACUUGUGGUAGAGAAAUUUUAAUUGUACAAUCUCAAUUUUAUGAAGUUCAAAGAAGAAUCUUAAUAUACUAAUGGGGUAAGAUUAAUGGUAUUAAAGGGUCCUUCAUGUAAUUUAAUAAGCCAAAAAAACAAAAACAUGAUUACGCUACAAGCUUUGUGAGAGAUGCUUGGAGGGAAGUCAUGAACCAUAAUUUUUGCCGUUGAGUGGUUACCAAGUCAAUUUGGGUUACUAAAGAAGCAAGGGGUGUUUGUAUGGCCAAGAAUUAAAGCUCCUCUUGGUGAAAGCCCACCAUCCAUCAAAACACAGA
Molecule: unclassified non-coding RNA, 1389 nt
Filed under: Hevea brasiliensis (rubber tree)
Lineage: Eukaryota; Viridiplantae; Streptophyta; Magnoliopsida; Malpighiales; Euphorbiaceae
Source: RNAcentral